This 576-nucleotide ribosomal RNA is filed under the name uncultured bacterium. Its description in RNAcentral is "bacterial SSU rRNA". It matches the Rfam family "Bacterial small subunit ribosomal RNA", at positions 8 to 578 of the family's 1533-position model. The record is from RNAcentral.
AGAGUUUGAUCAUGGCUCAGAUUGAACGCUGGCGGCAGGCUUAACACAUGCAAGUCGAGCGGGGAAGAGUAGCUUGCUACUUAACCUAGCGGCGGACGGGUGAGUAAUGCUUAGGAAUCUGCCUAUUAGUGGGGGACAACAUCUCGAAAGGGAUGCUAAUACCGCAUACGUCCUACGGGAGAAAGCAGGGGACCUUCGGGCCUUGCGCUAAUAGGUGAGCCUAAGUCGGAUUAGCUAGUUUGUGGGGUAAAGGCCUACCAAGGCGACGAUCUGUAGCGGGUCUGAGAGGAUGAUCCGCCACACUGGGACUGAGACACGGCCCAGACUCCUACGGGAGGCAGCAGUGGGGAAUAUUGGACAAUGGGGGGAACCCUGAUCCAGCCAUGCCGCGUGUGUGAAGAAGGCCUUUUGGUUGUAAAGCACUUUAAGCGAGGAGGAGGCUACCGAGAUUAAUACUCUUGGAUAGUGGACGUUACUCGCAGAAUAAGCACCGGCUAACUCUGUGCCAGCAGCCGCGGUAAUACAGAGGGUGCAAGCGUUAAUCGGAUUUACUGGGCGUAAAGCGCGCGUAGGUGG